AUUGAACGCUGGCGGCAUGCUUUACACAUGCAAGUCGAACGGCAGCACGGGGGCAACCCUGGUGGCGAGUGGCGAACGGGUGAGUAACACAUCGGAACGUGCCCAGUUGUGGGGGAUAACCUAUCGAAAGGUAGGCUAAUACCGCAUGAGCUCGGCAAGAGGAAAGCGGGGGACUCAGCGAUGGGCCUCGCGCGACUGGAGCGGCCGAUGUCCGAUUAGCAGUUGGUGGGGUAAAGGCUUACCAAGGCGACGAUCGGUAGCUGGUCUGAGAGGAUGAUCAGCCACACUGGGACUGAGACACGGCCCAGACUCCUACGGGAGGCAGCAGUGGGGAAUUUUGGACAAUGGGGGCAAGCCUGACCGAGCGACGCCGCGUGCGCGAUGAAGGCCUU
Molecule: ribosomal RNA, 392 nt
Filed under: uncultured bacterium
Lineage: Bacteria
Description: bacterial SSU rRNA
Rfam family: Bacterial small subunit ribosomal RNA
Source: RNAcentral